CACAAAUUUUCGGUAUUCUUGAUUUGUUAUUGAUAUAGUUAUAUAUAUUUUCACGACAGAACAUUUUCAUAUCAUUUAUCUGUGUUCAAAAAAAAAAAAAAAAAAUUAUGAAUAUUUAUUGAUGAAAGCAAUAAUGAAUGUUAUUUUGCGUUCGGUUAUCAGUCAAAAAAGAAAGUCACGUGGUUAGAAAUGACUGUGACAACAAUACAGCGGAAUGCCCUCAUGGUCAUUUGAUGUAAAAAUCAAUUAUGUGGCGCUAAUACGCUUCCGUAUUUAAACCACUGGUGACGCAUACAAAGCAGACGGCGAUUGUCUAUCAUCUGGUCUAGAUCCGUUUUAAGAUAAUAAGUAACCAUAAUAAUACAAAAAAGAGAUAUGGUAUGAUUACAAAUGAAACAAUUAUCCACAACAGUUAAAAUGAAGUGGAUAUAAGUAUUUAGAGACCAUCGAACGGCCUUCAAGAAUGAAAAAAUCAUACCGUAAUGCUUGCUAUAAAAGCCAUAAAUUUGUUUUCUCAUUUUAAGUAUCUUCUUAAAUUGUUCUUAAUAUAAAGGCAUGAUAGACAAUAGCCUUAAACACCCAUGCCUUGUAAAGGAGAAGCGAGGAAUACGGUUACCAAAGAGACAUAAAAACUCAUAAGUGUAAAAUAAACCAACUAAGCCAUGGCAAAAUAAGACAAAGAC
RNAcentral lists this long non-coding RNA (683 nucleotides) under Mytilus galloprovincialis (Mediterranean mussel). Lineage: Eukaryota; Metazoa; Mollusca; Bivalvia; Mytilida; Mytilidae. The record is from RNAcentral.